ACGCUCGACACCUACGGGAGGCAGCAGUGGGGAAUAUUGCACAAUGGGGGAAACCCUGAUGCAGCGACGCCGCGUGGAGGAAGAAGGUCUUCGGAUUGUAAACUCCUGUUGUUAGGGGAAAAAGAGGAUGGUACCCAACAAGGAAGUGACGGCUAACUACGUGCCAGAGCCGCGGUAAUCUGAGCGGGCUGGCAAGGC
This 198-nucleotide ribosomal RNA is filed under the name uncultured bacterium. RNAcentral's name for it is "partial 16S ribosomal RNA". It matches the Rfam family "Bacterial small subunit ribosomal RNA", at positions 328 to 539 of the family's 1533-position model. The record is from RNAcentral.